GAUGAACGCUGGCGGCGUGCUUAACACAUGCAAGUCGAACGGAAAGGCCCAAGCUUGCUUGGGUACUCGAGUGGCGAACGGGUGAGUAACACGUGGGUGAUCUGCCCUGCACUUCGGGAUAAGCCUGGGAAACUGGGUCUAAUACCGGAUAGGACCACAUUUUGGAUGGUGUGGUGGAAAGUUUUUCGGUGUGGGAUGAGCUCGCGGCCUAUCAGCUUGUUGGUGGGGUAAUGGCCUACCAAGGCGUCGACGGGUAGCCGGCCGGAGGGGGUGUACGGCCACAUUGGGACUGAGAUACGGCCCAGACUCCUACGGGAGGCAGCAGUGGGGAAUAUUGCACAAUGGGCGCAAGCCUGAUGCAGCGACGCCGCGUGGGGGAUGACGGCCUUCGGGUUGUAAACUCCUUUCGCUAGGGACGAAGCGUUAUGUGACGGUACCUGGAGAAGAAGCACCGGCUAACUACGUG
RNAcentral lists this ribosomal RNA (466 nucleotides) under uncultured bacterium. RNAcentral describes it as "partial 16S ribosomal RNA". It matches the Rfam family "Bacterial small subunit ribosomal RNA", at positions 28 to 507 of the family's 1533-position model. The record is from RNAcentral.